UACAGAGACCUCAAGCGUUAUCCGGAUUCAUUGGGCGUAAAGCGUCCGCAGGUGGUUUUGUAAGUUCAUGGUCAAAUCCUGAUGCUUAACAUCAGGACUGCUGUGGAUACUGCAAAACUUGAGGAUGGGAGAGGCACACGGAACUGUUGGUGUAGUAGUAAAAUGCGUUGAUAUCAACAGGAACACCAAAGGCGAAGGCAGUGUGCUAGAACAUUCCUGACACUCAUGGACGAAAGCGUGGGUAGCGAAUCGG
This 253-nucleotide unclassified non-coding RNA is filed under the name Patescibacteria group bacterium. RNAcentral's name for it is "contains 16S-23S intergenic spacer region". It matches the Rfam family "Bacterial small subunit ribosomal RNA", at positions 524 to 776 of the family's 1533-position model. The record is from RNAcentral.